GACGAACGCUGGCGGCGUGCUUAACACAUGCAAGUCGAACGAUGAAGCCUAGCUUGCUAGGUGGAUUAGUGGCGAACGGGUGAGUAAUACGUGAGUAACCUACCUUUAACUCUGGGAUAAGCCUGGGAAACUGGGUCUAAUACCGGAUACGACCAAUCUCCGCAUGGGGUGUUGGUGGAAAGCGUUAUGUAGUGGUUAUAGAUGGGCUCACGGCCUAUCAGCUUGUUGGUGAGGUAACGGCUCACCAAGGCGACGACGGGUAGCCGGCCUGAGAGGGUGACUGGCCACACUGGGACUGAGACACGGCCCAGACUCCUACGGGAGGCAGCAGUGGGGAAUAUUGCACAAUGGGCGCAAGCCUGAUGCAGCGACGCCGCGUGAGGGAUGACGGCCUUCGGGUUGUAAACCUCUGUUAGCAGGGAAGAAGAGAAAUUGACGGUACCUGCAGAGAAAGCGCCGGCUAACUACGUG
RNAcentral lists this ribosomal RNA (471 nucleotides) under uncultured bacterium. RNAcentral describes it as "partial 16S ribosomal RNA". It matches the Rfam family "Bacterial small subunit ribosomal RNA", at positions 28 to 507 of the family's 1533-position model. The record is from RNAcentral.